Molecule: ribosomal RNA, 253 nt
Filed under: uncultured bacterium
Lineage: Bacteria
Description: partial 16S ribosomal RNA
Rfam family: Bacterial small subunit ribosomal RNA
Source: RNAcentral
UACGGGGGGAGCAAGCGUUGUUCGGAUUUACUGGGCGUAAAGGGCGCGUAGGCGGUCGUGACAAGUCACUUGUGAAAUCUCCGGGCUUAACUCGGAACGGUCAAGUGAUACUGUCGGACUAGAGUACAGAAGGGCUACUGGAAUUCUCGGUGUAGCGGUGAAAUGCGUAGAGAUGUGGAGGAACACCAGUGGCGAAGGCGGCUUUCUGGUCUGUAACUGACGCUGAGGCGCGAAAGCGUGGGGAGCAAACAGG